GCCGGGGUGGCGGAAUGGCAGACGCAGCUGGCUUAAACCCGGCGGCCGCAAGGCGUGUGGGUUCGAAUCCCUCCCCCGGUACCA
This 84-nucleotide transfer RNA is filed under the name bacterium. Its description in RNAcentral is "tRNA-Leu". It matches the Rfam family "tRNA". Rfam says of the family: Transfer RNA (tRNA) molecules are approximately 80 nucleotides in length. The record is from RNAcentral. RNAcentral also lists the same sequence under 2 other names.